UUGCACAUUCCGAUCAAACUCCUAUCAUUCGGAGUUUAUAAUUUACCCAAUCGAAGUACUUUCGCUAACCACAACCUCAACUAGACCUCGUCUCUCACGAGCCUAUUCUUAUAGUCCAACCAGUCUAAGGUUUGCUAGGUCUACUAAGACUCAACCCUAAACUCUGAUACCACUAUAAUCUGUCACGCCCGGGUACCAGCAGAAGCAUAUCCGGUACGUGCACAGACCCGCCAUACAUCUGCAGUAUAUAAGGCGUCUACAAGAAACAAGUCGAUAGGAGUAAAAUAUAAAAGAAUCC
This 298-nucleotide long non-coding RNA is filed under the name Ananas comosus (pineapple). RNAcentral describes it as "long non-coding RNA (ACOM_LNC003668)". The record is from RNAcentral. Lineage: Eukaryota; Viridiplantae; Streptophyta; Magnoliopsida; Poales; Bromeliaceae.